UAGUCCACGCCGUAAACGAUGGAUACUAGGUGUCCGGGAAGUUAACCUCCUGGGUACUACAGCUAACGCGUUAAGUAUCCCGCCUGGGGAGUACGGUCGCAAGGCUAAAACACAAAGGAAUUGACGGGGGCCCGCACAAGCGGUGGAGUAUGUGGUUUAAUUCGAAGCAACGCGCAGAACCUUACCUACCCUUAACAUUUCACGCUCGCCUCAGAGAUGAGGUUUUCUCUUCGGAGACGUGAGGAUAGGUGCUGCAUGGCUGUCGUCAGCUCGUGUCGUAAGAUGUUGGGUUAAGUCCCGUAACGAGCGCAACCCUUGUCCUUAGCUGCUAACAUUUAGUUGAGAACUCUAAGGAGACUGCCGGUGACAAACCGGAGGAAGGUGGGGACGACGUCAAGUCAUCAUGGCCCUUACGACCUGGGCUACACACGUGCUAUAAUGGGCAGUACAGAGGGUCGCCAAGCCGCGAGGUGGAGCUAAUCCCUUAAAACUGUUCGUAGUUCGGAUUGGAGUCUGCAACUCGACUCCA
RNAcentral lists this ribosomal RNA (529 nucleotides) under uncultured bacterium. RNAcentral's name for it is "bacterial SSU rRNA". It matches the Rfam family "Bacterial small subunit ribosomal RNA", at positions 791 to 1320 of the family's 1533-position model. The record is from RNAcentral.